This 1045-nucleotide long non-coding RNA is filed under the name Monodelphis domestica (gray short-tailed opossum). Its description in RNAcentral is "lncRNA (ENSMODG00000030159.2)". Lineage: Eukaryota; Metazoa; Chordata; Mammalia; Didelphimorphia; Didelphidae. The record is from RNAcentral.
AGAAAAAAGAACAUAGAAUGUUAGCCUACAGAAAGGUCUUGAAUGACAGAAUUCUAGAAUGUAGAAUAUUAGAACUAGAAGAAGCCUGGGAGAUCACUUUGUUCAAACCCCUCAUCUAACUCAAGAAUAGACUGAGGCCAGGAGAGGGAAAGUUUGCCCAAGGGCACAUAGUUAAGUCACUGAUGGAAUUAGGCAGAUGAAGCUAUUUGGACUUAUUUCAAUUCAAUUAAGAAGCACUGCAGGUCUUUGGUCAGAGCCAGCAGAUUCUGUUCUACUAGUGCCUGGGGAACAGGCCUCUUUCCAGUUACAUACUUGGGGCUCUGAGCUUCAGCUCUCAACACAUUCAGCCCUUGAAACUCCAAGGCCCAAGGUCGGUUAAAGGUGGGGAGAACCAGGCUUGGCCAGCCCUGCAAAAAUGAGGAAAUCAGCCAAUUUUGUCUUCAAGGCCUCCAGCUUCCUCUGCCUGGAAUCUCAGAAUCUGAUGCAGAUGGAGGAGAGAAGUAUCUCAAAGACCUUCCAGAGCCAGCUCCAACUGACUGCUUUGCUCAUAGCAUCUGCUGUUGCUAGAUGGCAUCAUAUUAAUUCCAUCAAAUCCUGGAGCAUUGCAGUGUGCCUUCAGCAACUAUAAUGAGAAAGUAUUUUGUCUUCAUCACUUCAGAAGAGGGAAGGGAGAAGGUUAAGCUUGGUCUAAGUGUUUUCAGUGAUUCCAAAGUUCACAAUACCACAAAAACCCAAAUCUUUUCAUUAUUAUUCUCAUGGGGAUGGUACACAGUUAUGAAUCAUAGAACACUAUGAUCUUGGAAGAAGGAAAAUUAGAACCUAAUACAAAGUGCAAUGGAGAGAUACAGGAUGGGUAUAAGUAGUUUGCUACACAUUCCCUUUGAUGACUUACUAAAGUGAAGUGGAAUAAGUGACACUGGUGUCAUGUAUUAACAGAAAGACCUGCCUCUAUAGAAAAGGGAUUAGAUUUAUUCUGUUUAGUCCCUAAGAAUAGAAUUAGGAAUGAUGAAUGGCAGAUUUAGAAGAGCAGGUCUCAACAUAAGCA